Long non-coding RNA from Amblyraja radiata (thorny skate), 166 nucleotides. RefSeq lists it as uncharacterized. The transcript is spliced from 3 exons. Lineage: Eukaryota; Metazoa; Chordata; Chondrichthyes; Rajiformes; Rajidae. The record is from RefSeq and is a predicted model, not a curated record.
UUUACAACAAAUGAAUGAAAGAUGUGCAAAGCAGUAACAAUGAUAAAGGAGACAGGCCACUGCUAGCUGUGGGCUAGGUGAAAAUGAGUUACAGGCAAUGAGGCCCAACAAGACGACUGUGAAGCUGGAUGGGGGAGGGAUGGAGAGAGAGAAGGGAUGCAAGGGU